GACCGCGUAGCUCAGAUGGAAGAGCAUUGGGCUAGUAUUCCAAAGGUCGUAGGUUCGAAUCCCGCCGUGGCCA
This 73-nucleotide transfer RNA is filed under the name Paramuricea clavata. It matches the Rfam family "tRNA". From Rfam's summary of the family: Transfer RNA (tRNA) molecules are approximately 80 nucleotides in length. Their secondary structure includes four short double-helical elements and three loops (D, anti-codon, and T loops). Further hydrogen bonds mediate the characteristic L-shaped molecular structure. tRNAs have two regions of fundamental functional importance: the anti-codon, which is responsible for specific mRNA codon recognition, and the 3' end, to which the tRNAs corresponding amino acid is attached (by aminoacyl-tRNA synthetases). tRNAs cope with the degeneracy of the genetic code in two manners: having more than one tRNA (with a specific anti-codon) for a particular amino acid; and 'wobble' base-pairing, i.e. permitting non-standard base-pairing at the 3rd anti-codon position. The record is from Rfam by way of RNAcentral. Lineage: Eukaryota; Metazoa; Cnidaria; Anthozoa; Malacalcyonacea; Plexauridae.